GAAUAUGAUGAGAGAUAAUCCUGCUCCAGUCUUACGAGCCUUGUAUCAUUGCAUUGCUCAAUGGUGAUAGACCUAUUCAUAAUCUGAUUA
Molecule: small nucleolar RNA, 90 nt
Organism: Lactuca sativa (garden lettuce)
Lineage: Eukaryota; Viridiplantae; Streptophyta; Magnoliopsida; Asterales; Asteraceae
Product: small nucleolar RNA U31b
Source: RefSeq, a predicted model, not a curated record